GUGAGGGUAGAAUAGUGGUUCGAACAUUGGACUACAACUCUGAAGACCAGGGUUUGAAUCCCUGCUCAGCCA
Molecule: non-coding RNA, 72 nt
Organism: Phrynosoma platyrhinos (Desert horned lizard)
Lineage: Eukaryota; Metazoa; Chordata; Lepidosauria; Squamata; Phrynosomatidae
Source: the annotation of a GenBank genome assembly